CUUGAAGCUCUCGCUACUAGAUGAGCCUGCGUAAGAUUAGCUUGUUGGUAAGGUAAUGGCUUACCAAGGCUACGAUCUUUAGCUGGUCUGAGAGGACGAUCAGCCACAUUGGGACUGAGACACGGCCCAGACUCCUACGGGAGGCAGCAGUGGGGAAUAUUGGACAAUGGGCGCAAGCCUGAUCCAGCCAUACCGCGUGUGUGAAGAAGGCCUUCGGGUUGUAAAGCACUUUAAGCAGGGAGAAAAAGCAAUAAGUUAAUACCUUAUUGCCGUGAUGUUACCUGCAGAAUAAGCACCGGCUAAUUCCGUGCCAGCAGCCGCGGUAAUACGGAAGGUGCAAGCGUUAAUCGGAAUUACUGGGCGUAAAGCGCGCGUAGGUGGUUUGUUAAGUUGGAUGUGAAAGCCCUGGGCUCAACCUAGGAACUGCAUCCAAAACUAACUCACUAGAGUACGAUAGAGGGAGGUAGAAUUCAUAGUGUAGCGGUGGAAUGCGUAGAUAUUAUGAAGAAUACCAGUGGCGAAGGCGGCCUCCUGGAUCUGUACUGACACUAAGGUGCGAAAGCGUGGGUAGCGAACAGGAUUAGAUACCCUGGUAGUCCACGCCGUAAACGAUGACAACUAGCUGUUGGGAGACAAUGUCUUUCAGUGGCGCAGCUAACGUUUUAAGUUGUCCGCCUGGGGAGUACGGCCGCAAGGCUAAAACUCAAAUGAAUUGACGGGGACCCGCACAAGCGGUGGAGCAUGUGGUUUAAUUCGAUGCAACGCGAAAAACCUUACCUACUCUUGACAUACUUGGAAGCUCUUGUAAUGAGAGUGUGCCUUUUGGAGCCAAGAUACAGGUGCUGCAUGGCUGUCGUCAGCUCGUGUCGUGAGAUGUUCCGUUAAGUCGGAUAACGAGCGCAACCCUUACCC
Molecule: ribosomal RNA, 912 nt
Filed under: marine metagenome
Description: bacterial SSU rRNA
Rfam family: Bacterial small subunit ribosomal RNA
Source: RNAcentral